AAGUUUAGCUUCAAUUUCUUCAACAGUACAUGGAGUCCUAGCCUCCAACAGUCUUUUCCGAAGCCUUCUAGGUAUUCUAGGCGGAGAACUAAACGACAGCGCAUCACUUAUCGGAAAAUCAAGCGCCACCGCAACCCUCUCCGUCUCCGGCGAAGACGACUCAACUCCCCAUAAAUCAAAUUGAAAACAAUCACGCUCUCUCUACACGCGCAUAUACAGAUGAACAAAAACAGCGAAAUUUCUGGAAAUUUUCUUUAAUUUAGAAUGAAAGCAAGAAACGAAGAGACGAAGAGAGAGCGAUCGUUUAUAUAUAUAUAAAUUAUAAUGCUGCUAAGAAGAGAAAGGUCGC
This 349-nucleotide unclassified non-coding RNA is filed under the name Hevea brasiliensis (rubber tree). Lineage: Eukaryota; Viridiplantae; Streptophyta; Magnoliopsida; Malpighiales; Euphorbiaceae. The record is from RNAcentral.